CCCCACAAACGUUCUCUUCGUAUUUUUCCUUCAACCACUUUGAGACUGCAAAACUGCAGAAAGCAAAACUUCGCAGAGAAUGAUGCUUUUCCUGCAUAAUGAAUUCAAACUAAAUCACCUGUAAGAAAAAGAAUUGGAAAUAAUGAUAUAACAAAGAGGGUAUAUUACUUGUGUCCAACAUAUUUUAGAGUGAACAUGGGAAGUAUACAAUAGCCAUGACACAAAUAUCAUAUUCAAUUGUGAAGUUAGCAUCCUUCAAAUAUGAAAAUAGAGUUUACCUUUGGCCACUAUAACACAUGCUAUUCGAUUUUGACAAUCGUGAUUCAUGGCCUUUGCAAGACUUUCUUUCUAGUUCUACCCUUGUACUCAACUCAGCCAACUUUUGUUGACUUCUUCCUGUCCAACACUCGAGUUUCUGAAAAUUUGAUUCAAGUGGACAUCAACCAUAUAUUUUCUUUUUCAUUUUUAUUUCAAUAUCUUGAGAAAUUGAAAUAUGAGGAUGCCUUCUCUUUUGAGAAGGCAAGGAUCAAGAUUAACAGUUAUUACCUGCCAAAAUUUUGCAGCAAUGUUUCUUUUUCUUCUUUUUCUAAGUUCCAUUUUUUCUGGUGCAACAG
Molecule: long non-coding RNA, 614 nt
Filed under: Ricinus communis (castor bean)
Lineage: Eukaryota; Viridiplantae; Streptophyta; Magnoliopsida; Malpighiales; Euphorbiaceae
Description: long non-coding RNA (RCOM_LNC002934)
Source: RNAcentral